AAUCAACGCUGGCGGCGCGCUUAACACAUGCAAGUCGAGCGAGAAAGGGGAGCAAUCCCUGAGUACAGCGGCGUACGGGUGAGUAACACGUGGGUGAUCUACCUUCUAGUGUGGAAUAACCCUGGGAAACCGGGGCUAAUACCGCAUAAGCCUGUGAAGGGAAAGCAGCAAUGCGCUGGAAGAGGAGCCCGCGGCCGAUUAGCUAGUUGGUGAGGUAACGGCCCACCAAGGCGAUGAUCGGUAGCCGGCCUGAGAGGGCACACGGCCACACUGGCACUGAAACACGGGCCAGACUCCUACGGGAGGCGAGCAGUGGGGAAGUCUUGCACAAUGGAGGCAACUCUGAUGCAGCGACGCCGCGUGAGCGAUGAAGCCC
RNAcentral lists this ribosomal RNA (376 nucleotides) under uncultured bacterium. RNAcentral describes it as "bacterial SSU rRNA". It matches the Rfam family "Bacterial small subunit ribosomal RNA", at positions 29 to 416 of the family's 1533-position model. The record is from RNAcentral.